AGUGAACGCUGGCGGUAGGCCUAACACAUGCAAGUCGAACGGCAGCACAGUAAAAGCUUGCUCUUACGGGUGGCGAGUGGCGGACGGGUGAGGAAUACAUCGGAAUCUACUUUUUCGUGGGGGAUAACGUAGGGAAACUUACGCUAAUACCGCAUACGACCUACGGGUGAAAGCAGGGGAUCUUCGGACCUUGCGCGAUUGAUUGAGCCGAUGUCGGAUUGGCUAGUUGGCGGGGUAAAGGCCCACCAAGGCGACGAUCCGUAGCUGGUCUGAGAGGAUGAUCAGCCACACUGGCACUGAGACACGGUCCAGACUCCUACGGGAGGCAGCAGUGGGGAAUAUUGGACAAUGGGCGCAAGCCUGAUCCAGCCAUACCGCGUGGGUGAAGAAGGCCUUCGGGUUGUAAAGCCCUUUUGUUGGGAAAGAAAAGCAGCAGGUUAAUACCCCGCUGUUCUGACGGUACCCAAAGAAUAAGCACCGGCUAACUUCGUG
Molecule: ribosomal RNA, 492 nt
Filed under: uncultured bacterium
Lineage: Bacteria
Description: partial 16S ribosomal RNA
Rfam family: Bacterial small subunit ribosomal RNA
Source: RNAcentral